Sediminibacillus halophilus is the source of this 106-nucleotide non-coding RNA. The record is from Rfam. Lineage: Bacteria; Bacillati; Bacillota; Bacilli; Caryophanales; Bacillaceae.
CAGACCUUUAAAUCGAGUCCCGUGAGGCUUGCAAGGUUGCCAAAGGAUACGUGUAUAUUUUCAGCACGUUUACCUCCUUGCGACCAAGCAAGGAGGUUUUUUUACG